Molecule: ribosomal RNA, 437 nt
Filed under: uncultured Ruminococcus sp.
Lineage: Bacteria; Bacillati; Bacillota; Clostridia; Eubacteriales; Oscillospiraceae
Description: bacterial SSU rRNA
Rfam family: Bacterial small subunit ribosomal RNA
Source: RNAcentral
ACGGGAGGCAGCAGUGGGGAAUAUUGGGCAAUGGACGAAAGUCUGACCCAGCGACGCCGCGUGAAGGAAGAAGAUCCUCGGAUUGUAAACUUCAGUCAACAGGGAAGAAGAAAAUGACGGUACCUGUGAAGGAAGCUCCGGCUAACUACGUGCCAGCAGCCGCGGUAAUACGUAGGGAGCAAGCGUUAUCCGGAAUUACUGGGUGUAAAGGGAGUGUAGGCGGGACUGUAAGUCAGAUGUGAAAUAUGCCGGCUCAACUGGCAGACUGCAUUUGAAACUGCGGUUCUUGAGUGAAGUAGAGGUAAGCGGAAUUCCUAGUGUAGCGGUGAAAUGCGUAGAUAUUAGGAGGAACAUCAGUGGCGAAGGCGGCUUACUGGGCUUUAACUGACGCUGAGGCUCGAAAGCGUGGGGAGCAAACAGGAUUAGAUACCCUGGUA